RNAcentral lists this ribosomal RNA (231 nucleotides) under Streptococcus pluranimalium. Its description in RNAcentral is "partial 16S ribosomal RNA". It matches the Rfam family "Bacterial small subunit ribosomal RNA", at positions 555 to 787 of the family's 1533-position model. The record is from RNAcentral. Lineage: Bacteria; Bacillati; Bacillota; Bacilli; Lactobacillales; Streptococcaceae.
UGGGCGUAAGCGAGCGCAGGUGGUUUAAUAAGUCUGAAGUUAAAGGCAUUGGCUCAACCAAUGUAGGCUUUGGAAACUGUUAAACUUGAGUGCAGAAGGGGAGAGUGGAAUUCCAUGUGUAGCGGUGAAAUGCGUAGAUAUAUGGAGGAACACCGGUGGCGAAAGCGGCUCUCUGGUCUGUAACUGACACUGAGGCUCGAAAGCGUGGGUAGCGAACAGGAUUAGAUACCC